This 73-nucleotide transfer RNA is filed under the name Felis catus (domestic cat). It matches the Rfam family "tRNA". Rfam says of the family: Transfer RNA (tRNA) molecules are approximately 80 nucleotides in length. Lineage: Eukaryota; Metazoa; Chordata; Mammalia; Carnivora; Felidae. The record is from Rfam by way of RNAcentral.
ACCUGGCUGGCUCAGUCGAUAGAGCAUGAGACUCUCGAUCUUGGGAUUAUAGGUUCAAACCCCACAUUAGGUG